RNAcentral lists this ribosomal RNA (497 nucleotides) under uncultured bacterium. RNAcentral's name for it is "partial 16S ribosomal RNA". It matches the Rfam family "Bacterial small subunit ribosomal RNA", at positions 28 to 507 of the family's 1533-position model. The record is from RNAcentral.
GAUGAACGCUGGCGGCGUGCCUAAUACAUGCAAGUCGAGCGAACGGACGAGAAGCUUGCUUCUCUGAUGUUAGCGGCGGACGGGUGAGUAACACGUGGAUAACCUACCUAUAAGACUGGGAUAACUUCGGGAAACCGGAGCUAAUACCGGAUAAUAUUUUGAACCGCAUGGUUCAAAAGUGAAAGACGGUCUUGCUGUCACUUAUAGAUGGAUCCGCGCUGCAUUAGCUAGUUGGUAAGGUAACGGCUUACCAAGGCAACGAUGCAUAGCCGACCUGAGAGGGUGAUCGGCCACACUGGAACUGAGACACGGUCCAGACUCUUACGGGAGGCAGCAGUAGGGAAUCUUCCGCAAUGGGCGAAAGCCUGACGGAGCAACGCCGCGUGAGUGAUGAAGGUCUUCGGAUCGUAAAACUCUGUUAUUAGGGAAGAACAUAUGUGUAAGUAACUGUGCACAUCUUGACGGUACCUAAUCAGAAAGCCACGGCUAACUACGUG